This is a long non-coding RNA of Eriocheir sinensis (Chinese mitten crab), 389 nucleotides long. RefSeq lists it as uncharacterized. The record is from RefSeq and is a predicted model, not a curated record. Lineage: Eukaryota; Metazoa; Arthropoda; Malacostraca; Decapoda; Varunidae. The transcript is spliced from 2 exons.
GGAGGGAGAGAAGGAGGAGAGUUAGCGAGGGGAAGAGGUGGAGAGGAGUGGUGGAGAGUUGGAGAGGUGAAAAGUUGGACAGGUGAAGAGUUUGAGAGGUGGAGAAUUGGAGAAAUGGGGAGUUAGCAAGAGGGAGAGGUGGAGAGAAGGAGAGUUAGCAAGGGGGAGAGGUGGAGAAUUCGAGAGUUGGAGAGUUGAGUUAGCGAUGUGGAGAGGUGGAGAGUGGAGAAAGGUGGAGAGUUAGAGAGGUGAAGAGGUGGAGAGUUAAGUUAUAAUUUAUAGUUUCUUUCCAGUUCCUCUUCUUUUCUUCCUCUCCACUACUACUACUACUACUACUACUACUACUACUACUACUACUACUACUACUGCUACUACUACUACUACUACUA